GAAAGUUCCAGAUGAGUGGGCUCCACCAGAGAUCAAGCCUUAUGUUCCAGUGGAGAUGCUGCAAAAGUGGCUUACUGAUGACAAAGCUAGAGAUCAGUAUGUGAUUCGGUCUGGCGGUGACACAGAGGUCCUCUGGAAUGAUGCAAGACAAAUGAAGCCUGAGCUUGUUUAUAAACGUCCUUAUUGGACUGAGAGAUUUGUUCAAUGGUCCCCUAUGGGU
RNAcentral lists this unclassified non-coding RNA (220 nucleotides) under Hevea brasiliensis (rubber tree). The record is from RNAcentral. Lineage: Eukaryota; Viridiplantae; Streptophyta; Magnoliopsida; Malpighiales; Euphorbiaceae.